Long non-coding RNA from Stegostoma tigrinum, 1177 nucleotides. RefSeq lists it as uncharacterized. NCBI's taxonomy places the organism in Eukaryota, Metazoa, Chordata, Chondrichthyes, Orectolobiformes, Stegostomatidae. The record is from RefSeq and is a predicted model, not a curated record. The transcript has 3 exons.
AGCAGAAUCAAGCUCAAACGCAUUGGAACAGCUUGUCCUCAUUUCUCAUGUACCUAUGCUACAAACUGUUCAUUUGUCUUCUUUAGAAAAGAUCUUUGAGAAGAUUUACUGGAACGAUAUGUUCACAGGACGACUACGCUGUGAAAUUCCACCAGGAUUGCUAAGUAGGUCAUCAUUGAAAUUUUGAAGCGAAAGUAUUCGCCCCACCAACCCCUCCAAUGCCCCCACCUUUAACUAUUUUCAGCUUCAAUUAUUUAACCUGAAGGAAAGGAGUCACGUCGGUGACCGAGCAGGAUCUGAGCGCGUGGGCCAUGUGCUGCAGUGGCAAUGGAGUGAGCGCGGUCCAGAGCGAAGUUGGCGGGUCAGACAUGGGUCAGAGCAAACCAGGAGGUGCCGGGUCCCCAGAGUGACGGAGGGGUCAAGGGGGCACGUCCUAGACCAGUGGAGGAGACACGUGCCCACAGUGACGGUGAGACGCGGUACCCAGAGCGACAGUGAGACCGUGUACCCAGAGUGACAGUGAGACCGUGUACCCAGAGUGACAGUGAGGCUGUGUACGCAGAGCAACGGUGAGACCGGGUAACCAGAGCGACAGUGAGACCCUGUACCCAGAGCGACAGUGAGGCCGUGUACCCAGAGCGACAAUGAGGCCGUGUACCUAGAGCGACAGUGAGGCCGUGUACCCAGAGCGAUGGUGCGGGCGUGUACCCAGAGCGACAGUGAGGCCGUGUACCCAGAGCGAUGGUGAGACCGUGUACCCAGAGCGACGGUGAGUCCGUGUAGCCAGAGCGACAGUGAGGCCGUGUACCCAGAGCGAUGGUGAGACCGUGUACCCAGAGCGACAGUGAGACCGUGUACCCAGAGCGACAGUGAGGCCGUGUACCCAGAGUGACGGUGAUACCGUGUACCCAGAGUGAUGGUGAGGCUGUGUACCCAGAGCGACAGUGAGACCGUGUACCCAGAGUGACGGUGAGAUCGUGUACCCAGAGCGACGGUGAGACUGUGUACCCAGAGUGACCGUGAGACCGUGUACCCAGAGCGACGGUGAGACUGGUUGAGCAGCAGCGCGAGCGGGAGCUUGGACCGGGGCCUGUUGGGAAGCCGGUGACUCACUGUUUUUGAAUCGUUAAAAAGCUUACCUUGUGAAUAGGCGGAGGGAAGCUGAGCAGGAGCCGAC